This 1061-nucleotide long non-coding RNA is filed under the name Equus asinus (donkey). Its description in RNAcentral is "lncRNA (ENSEASG00005033215.1)". The record is from RNAcentral. Lineage: Eukaryota; Metazoa; Chordata; Mammalia; Perissodactyla; Equidae.
CACAGGCACUGAGUUAUGCCACCCAGAUGCCCCUUCACAGGACAGCCUGCCCAGCUGUGGAUUAUGUUACCACAGCAUCCAGCUCCUUCAAGGUCAAAGCUGCAGAGGACCUCUUUGUUCAAGGUCACACCUUUCCUGGGGCAGCUGCACCUGAGGCCUGAGCAAAGCGAGAGUAGAGAAGCCUGGCAUUCUGGCCUGACAAAGGACGACUUUAACAGGCAGUGUUCUCUCCAGAAUUCACCACCCGGUUGGCCAAGACAUUUCAACCUCUGCGCAGCCCCAUCUCCUCCUCCUCUCCUUUCUCAGCCAUCAGACCUGCCCUGCGGUCUGAAGGCUCCCCUGCCUCUCUGGCUCCCUCUCCACUUUUACUUCCACAAGGAUUUCUGCCCGCCUCAGCCCCCAAUCUCAUGUUUCUAUGUCCUUCUUGGCAUCUGACUCCCAGAGGACCCAGAAAUGACUGUUUCCCCUCUCCACCCCACGUGAAACAGCCCUGCGGCUCCUUGGCACUCUCUAACCCCAUUUCUCUGCUUAUUUUUCUCCACAGCAAUUGGCACCAUUUGCCAGGCAUUUUUUGUCAUAGAAUAUUUGUUUUCUCAUCAUCUCCCCACGAACCAGAACCUCAGCUGCUCCAGAGCAGGGACUUGGCCCUAAUCUCUCCAUAUCCACAUGCCUAGAGCAAAGCCCUGGAUGUGAAAUCCUCAGCCAUCUGGAGACCAAACCUCCACAAUAUUGAAGAAUCAGGCUCUUUUCCAGGACCUCACUUCUGCCACAGCUGUGUUAUGGCAACUGCUCAUUUCCCUACCAUGAGAUGGAAGUUUCUGGAAAGCCCUUCCUGAGUUGCUGACAUUGGAGCAGAGACCUGAAUGAAGACAGCAUUCCUGGAAGAGGUAAAAAGUGACCAGGCUUUGAGGGAAGAUGAUCCUGGCUUGAGAAGACCAGCGUGGUUGGAGCAGAAAGAUGGGCAGCAGCCAGCUCCUUCUGGACCUUGGAGGCUGGGGAAGAAGCUUGAUUUCAUUCUAAGUACAACCCAGUGACCAUCUGAUUCAUAUUAAACAUAGCAG